Molecule: ribosomal RNA, 304 nt
Filed under: uncultured bacterium
Lineage: Bacteria
Description: partial 16S ribosomal RNA
Rfam family: Bacterial small subunit ribosomal RNA
Source: RNAcentral
UAGGGAAUCUUCCACAAUGGACGCAAGUCUGAUGGAGCAACGCCGCGUGAGUGAAGAAGGCUUUCGGGUCGUAAAACUCUGUUAUUGAAGAAGAACGUGCGUGACAGUAACUGGUCAUGCAGUGACGGUAUUCAAUCAGAAAGUCACGGCUAACUACGUGCCAGCAGCCGCGGUAAUACGUAGGUGGCAAGCGUUGUCCGGAUUUAUUGGGCGUAAAGCGAGUGCAGGCGGUCUUUUAAGUCUGAUGUGAAAGCCUUCGGCUUAACCGAAGAAGGGCAUCGGAAACUGGGAGACUUGAGUGCAG